AUGCAGUCGAGCGGAACGAGAAUAGCUUGCUAUUCGGCGUCGAGCGGCGGACGGGUGAGUAAUGCCUGGGAAAUUGCCCUGAUGUGGGGGAUAACCAUUGGAAACGAUGGCUAAUACCGCAUAAUGCCUUCGGGCCAAAGAGGGGGACCUUCGGGCCUCUCGCGUCAGGAUAUGCCCAGGUGGGAUUAGCUAGUUGGUGAGGUAAAGGCUCACCAAGGCGACGAUCCCUAGCUGGUCUGAGAGGAUGAUCAGCCACACUGGAACUGAGACACGGUCCAGACUCCUACGGGAGGCAGCAGUGGGGAAUAUUGCACAAUGGGCGCAAGCCUGAUGCAGCCAUGCCGCGUGUAUGAAGAAGGCCUUCGGGUUGUAAAGUACUUUCAGCAGUGAGGAAGGGUGUGAAGUUAAUAGCUUUAUAUUUUGACGUUAGCUGCAGAAGAAGCACCGGCUAACUCCGUGCCAGCAGCCGCGGUAAUACGGAGGGUGCGAGCGUUAAUCGGAAUUACUGGGCGUAAAGCGCAUGCAGGUGGUUUGUUAAGUCAGAUGUGAAAGCCCGGGGCUCAACCUCGGAACCGCAUUUGAAACUGGCAGGCUAGAGUACUGUAGAGGGGGGUAGAAUUUCAGGUGUAGCG
RNAcentral lists this ribosomal RNA (632 nucleotides) under Vibrio sp. MC29. Its description in RNAcentral is "bacterial SSU rRNA". It matches the Rfam family "Bacterial small subunit ribosomal RNA", at positions 55 to 680 of the family's 1533-position model. Lineage: Bacteria; Pseudomonadati; Pseudomonadota; Gammaproteobacteria; Vibrionales; Vibrionaceae. The record is from RNAcentral.